Hydra vulgaris (swiftwater hydra) is the source of this 565-nucleotide non-coding RNA. Lineage: Eukaryota; Metazoa; Cnidaria; Hydrozoa; Anthoathecata; Hydridae. The record is from RefSeq and is a predicted model, not a curated record.
AUUGACAACAAUUCUGAUAAUGAGUUUAAAUUUCCAUUAAAUGAGUAAUCUGCAAAUGCCUCUUACACAGAAGAAAAUUCUUUUAGUGAAUUAAGUGAUAGCGAAUUUGACAUCAAAGACAAAUUAUGUAAUUGGUGCUCUUCCUACAACAUUUCUCAUGCAGGAAUAUCAGAUCUUUUGCAGAUACUCAGUUUUGCAGCUUUGCAAUUACCACUUCUGUGUAUCUAUGUCACAAGUUAUAAGCAACUUCCAAAGACCAAGAAAAAAAUAAAGGUUUUCAGAAAAACGGAGAAUUCGCUCACCAAAAGUUGGUUACUAACUUGAUCAAGGAGGUUGCACUCUUGUGGAGGAUACUGGCCGUAAUAGUACUGUAAUAACUGUAAUAUAAACUAAAUACAUAUGAACCGAAGUAAAUAUAACUCCAGAAAAUUUAAACUGUAACGAGGAAUGCACAUCAAUGAUCGAAUGUGAGGGGCUUGGCUUUGCGUCACAAGGCUGAUAUGAUAAACAAGCCAAACGUGCUAAAGCCUUAAAAAACACAAGGCUUCACCGAGAAGUACCUUUG